Molecule: non-coding RNA, 787 nt
Organism: Callithrix jacchus (white-tufted-ear marmoset)
Lineage: Eukaryota; Metazoa; Chordata; Mammalia; Primates; Cebidae
Source: the annotation of a RefSeq genome assembly
AUGGACAAAAUAGUGGCCAGAAAACCCACCCUGCGGCUGCCAGUGACCAUCAGCAGCAACCAUCCCCUGCACAGCCCUGUGUCGGGACAUCAAGGCCUGGAAGAUCAGGACUCUCAGGCAGGUGCUGGGGAGUUCCCAGAUCUCAGAACUGUCCAUGGGCCCUGCUGGACACUCAUGUGGAUAACCAUUGGCCACCUUUUCAGUGUUACCAACAAAUAUAGAUAUGUUGGUUCCCUGCAAGCCUCACCCAACAACCACAUCCCUCCUCUAAAGAAGCCCCAGUGGACAGAGCUCGUCACCAUAGACUGGACCUGGAGGAUCCUCUUCUUGGUGGCAGCAGCUACAGGUGCCCACUCCCAGGUCCAGCUGGUGCAGUCUGGGGCUGACAUGAAGAAGCCUGGGUCCUCCAUGAAGGUCUCCUGCAAGGUGUCUGGAUACACCUUCACCGACUACUACAUGAAUUGGGUGCAACAGACCCCUGGACAAGGGCUCGAGUGGAUGGGAGAGAUCUACACUAGUAGUGAUGGCACAGGCUACGCACAGAAGUUCCAGGGCAGAGUCACCAUGACCAGGGACACGUCCAUGAGCACAGCCUACAUGGAGCUCAGAAGCCUGAGACCUGAGGACAUGGCCGUGUAUUACUGUGCAUGACAUACAGUGUGAAAACCACAUCCUGAGAGUGUCAGAAACCCCAGGGAGCAUGCAGCUGUGCUGAGCUGUGGAGAUAAAAGUGGUUAUUAAGUUCAAAGCUGCUUACAAAAUGGGUUAUAUAUUUGAGAAUAAAGAA